AGCACUCGCCCACCUGUCCGCUUGCCGUCUCUAUGUCUGGAGCUCUUAGAGAUAAGACAUAGAGGUGUCUGGUUCUGAGAAAAGGAAGUUUUGCUAAGUGAGAGACACAACUGACUCAACUGACUCAGGGGCUGGAGGACACCGACUCUGGGCCCUCUUGACCUGGGCAAUGGCCCAUUAUGAUGGGUGCCAUGACCUCAAAAUGUCACUGGUGCUGAGUGACCGCCCACCUGCCCACCCACUCACCUCUGUGUUGUGCAGCACUUGCACAUAAGACGCACACAGGUGUCUGGUUCUGUGGUGCAUGAACGACUUUUCUAAGCGAGAGACACAGCAGCCUGAGCAGACUCAGAGACUCUGUGGCGAUGGGUGCUGUCCCCAAAUGUAGCCAUUCCACAGGAAAACAAAGUCCCCUCCUGUAUUGACAGCUGGGAAUUGUGGUGUCCACCGUCCUCGACCUGCGACGGGGUCUCCAUGAGCACAGAGGCUGCUCUGGAGUCAACAGAUCAUCUUUUCCCCAAACCAAACUGCUUGGCUGGCGUUGUUCCUGAAGGGGCUU
Molecule: long non-coding RNA, 559 nt
Filed under: Homo sapiens (human)
Lineage: Eukaryota; Metazoa; Chordata; Mammalia; Primates; Hominidae
Description: non-protein coding lnc-ZNF286B-1:1
Source: RNAcentral